Molecule: long non-coding RNA, 91 nt
Organism: Cervus elaphus (red deer)
Lineage: Eukaryota; Metazoa; Chordata; Mammalia; Artiodactyla; Cervidae
Exons: 3
Source: RefSeq, a predicted model, not a curated record
AUGUUGUCAAGGUUCAUCAAGUUUUAACAAAUAUCAAUACUUCAUUUCUUUUUAUGGGUGGAAAUGGGUAGGAGGUGGAAGGGAAUCUCAA